GCCUGAUGGAGGGGGAUAACUACUGGAACGGUAGCUAAUACCGCAUAACGUCGCAAGACCAAAGAGGGGGACCUUCGGGCCUCUUGCCAUCGGAUGUGCCCAGAUGGGAUUAGCUAGUAGGUGGGGUAACGGCUCACCUAGGCGACGAUCCCUAGCUGGUCUGAGAGGAUGACCAGCCACACUGGAACUGAGACACGGUCCAGACUCCUACGGGAGGCAGCAGUGGGGAAUAUUGCACAAUGGGCGCAAGCCUGAUGCAGCCAUGCCGCGUGUAUGAAGAAGGCCUUCGGGUUGUAAAGUACUUUCAGCGGGGAGGAAGGGAGUAAAGUUAAUACCUUUGCUCAUUGACGUUACCCGCAGAAGAAGCACCGGCUAACUCCGUGCCAGCAGCCGCGGUAAUACGGAGGGUGCAAGCGUUAAUCGGAAUUACUGGGCGUAAAGCGCACGCAGGCGGUUUGUUAAGUCAGAUGUG
Molecule: ribosomal RNA, 472 nt
Filed under: Escherichia coli
Lineage: Bacteria; Pseudomonadati; Pseudomonadota; Gammaproteobacteria; Enterobacterales; Enterobacteriaceae
Description: bacterial SSU rRNA
Rfam family: Bacterial small subunit ribosomal RNA
Source: RNAcentral